AUAUAACUGACGUCUGGAAUGUUCUUCAGAAACGCCCAGAGAACAACAGACAUUCCAGCUCUGCUGCUCCUGUGAGGUAAGAAACUAUACAGAAAAUCUACUAACAACCAGACAAUUCAUCUUAGAAGAUACAAAAUCCGACUGGAGGUAGAAAGCAACUUAUGGGACCCUGAGGGCAGAAAAAGUCAGACAUUAAAGGGUUUAUCUGGGAUUGAAAAACAGAGCUGAUUUCUUCCAAAAACUGGCCAUAAGAUCAUGUGGAUUUGUAUGAUAUAAUGGACUGCUGCAUAUAACAUCAGUUUGUCAUACUGGAUGGUACAAUGUGUCUGUCUGGACUAUGAGGUAAAGAAUACCAAUAGGGGAAGAAGCAUGGUGGGCUCCAUGGUGGGAAACUAGCAGAGCGUGCACUCCAAUGGAAUUCCCAGUGUCAAAAUGAUGGAUCCUCCCAAGGGAAUCAUGUGACUUCCUAAAGGAUCCUGACAGGCGACACUAAGAUGGCGCUCAGAAGUUACAUAUAUAUUUUUAACCCUAUGAUUUCUUAAAAUUUCCUUGCAGAGCUGUAUGAUGAUGCCGGUGAGUGUUCCCUGAUGUCUCUCAUAAAAUACAAUAAAAUAAAAUUUUAAUA
Molecule: long non-coding RNA, 625 nt
Organism: Hyla sarda
Lineage: Eukaryota; Metazoa; Chordata; Amphibia; Anura; Hylidae
Exons: 3
Source: RefSeq, a predicted model, not a curated record